AGAACGAACGCUGGCGGCAUGCCUAAUACAUGCAAGUCGAACGAACACUUCGGUGUUAGUGGCGCACGGGUGCGUAACGCGUGGGAAUCUGCCCUUGGGUUCGGAAUAACAGUUGGAAACGACUGCUAAUACCGGAUGAUGACGAAAGUCCAAAGAUUUAUCGCCCAGGGAUGAGCCCGCGUAGGAUUAGCUAGUUGGUGAGGUAAAGGCUCACCAAGGCGACGAUCCUUAGCUGGUCUGAGAGGAUGAUCAGCCACACUGGGACUGAGACACGGCCCAGACCUCCGUACGGGAGCAGCAGUAGGGAAUA
RNAcentral lists this ribosomal RNA (310 nucleotides) under uncultured soil bacterium. RNAcentral describes it as "bacterial SSU rRNA". It matches the Rfam family "Bacterial small subunit ribosomal RNA", at positions 26 to 363 of the family's 1533-position model. The record is from RNAcentral.